UGGGCUUGACAUGUCCGGAAGUCUGCAGAGAUGCGGAAGUGCCCUUCGGGGAAUCGGA
Molecule: ribosomal RNA, 58 nt
Filed under: uncultured organism
Description: partial 16S ribosomal RNA
Source: RNAcentral